AACGAACGCUGGCGGCAUGCCUAACACAUGCAAGUCGAACGAAGUCUUCGGACUUAGUGGCGCACGGGUGCGUAACGCGUGGGAAUCUGCCCUUGGGUGCGGAAUAACUUCUCGAAAGGGAUGCUAAUACCGCAUAAUGUCGUAAGACCAAAGAUUUAUCGCCCAAGGAUGAGCCCGCGUAAGAUUAGCUAGUUGGUGGGGUAAAAGCCGUACCAAGGCGACGAUCUUUAGCUGGUCUGAGAGGAUGAUCAGCCACACUGGGACUGAGACACGGCCCAGACUCCUACGGGAGGCAGCAGUGGGAAUAUUGCGCAAUGGGACGAAA
Molecule: ribosomal RNA, 325 nt
Filed under: uncultured bacterium
Lineage: Bacteria
Description: bacterial SSU rRNA
Rfam family: Bacterial small subunit ribosomal RNA
Source: RNAcentral